RNAcentral lists this ribosomal RNA (459 nucleotides) under uncultured bacterium. Its description in RNAcentral is "partial 16S ribosomal RNA". It matches the Rfam family "Bacterial small subunit ribosomal RNA", at positions 338 to 795 of the family's 1533-position model. The record is from RNAcentral.
CCUACGGGGCGCAGCAGUGAGGAAUAUUGGUCAAUGGGCGCGAGCCUGAACCAGCCAAGUCGCGUGAGGGAAGACGGUCCUAUGGAUUGUAAACCUCUUUUGUCGGGGAGCAAAAGACGCCACGCGUGGCGUUCCGAGAGUACCCGAAGAAAAAGCAUCGGCUAACUCCGUGCCAGCAGCCGCGGUAAUACGGGGGAUGCGAGCGUUAUCCGGAUUUAUUGGGUUGAAAGGGUGCGCAGGCGGAAGAUCAAGUCAGCGGUAAAAUUGAGAGGCUCAACCUCUUCGAGCCGUUGAAACUGGUUGUCUUGAGUGAGCGAGAAGUAUGCGGAAUGCGUGGUGUAGCGGUGAAAUGCAUAGAUAUCACGCAGAACUCCGAUUGCGAAGGCAGCAUACCGGCGCUCAACUGACGCUCAUGCACGAAAGUGUGGGUAUCGAACAGGAUUAGAUACCCUUGUAGUC